ACCAAAGGAAAGAAGAGAAAUCAAAGAGAGAAAAUCGGCUAUGGAGGGAGUAAUUUUACUCCUUGAAAUUUCAUCCCAAAAAUUAUUUUCUCCUAGUAUUCCUACUAAUUCAAGGAUCCUCUACAACAUGAUGAAGUUAUUUUGGAAGAUAGGAGGCUUGUUUGGUUGAUUUGAAGCUUUGGUAAAGUGAAGAAGUUGGAAGGAAAAGAUUUUGGAGGAAACGGGAAUUGUACUUGGACAACCGUAAAAGGCCAAAAAGGUAUCGAAGUUUGAUUUGCUGAUCCGCCGGUUUAGGACAUCUGCUGUGUUAUUGACAGUGCUCCCUUGUUCGGAGCUUGUAUUUUGGUACUGACUCUAUAUCUGUAUAUUUGGAUAUGUUGGUCAGGGGUACG
Long non-coding RNA from Solanum dulcamara, 392 nucleotides. RefSeq lists it as uncharacterized. The record is from RefSeq and is a predicted model, not a curated record. NCBI's taxonomy places the organism in Eukaryota, Viridiplantae, Streptophyta, Magnoliopsida, Solanales, Solanaceae. The transcript is spliced from 3 exons.